UACGUAGGUGGCAAGCGUUAUCCGGAAUUAUUGGGCGUAAAGCGCGCGUAGGCGGUUUUUUAAGUCUGAUGUGAAAGCCCACGGCUCAACCGUGGAGGGUCAUUGGAAACUGGGAGACUUGAGUGCAGAAGAGGAAAGUGGAAUUCCAUGUGUAGCGGUGAAAUGCGUAGAGAUAUGGAGGAACACCAGUGGCGAAGGCGACUUUCUGGUCUGUAACUGACACUGAGGCGCGAAAGCGCGGGGAGCAAACAGGAUUAGAAACCCGCGUAGUCC
RNAcentral lists this ribosomal RNA (273 nucleotides) under uncultured Bacillus sp. RNAcentral describes it as "partial 16S ribosomal RNA". It matches the Rfam family "Bacterial small subunit ribosomal RNA", at positions 524 to 796 of the family's 1533-position model. The record is from RNAcentral. Lineage: Bacteria; Bacillati; Bacillota; Bacilli; Caryophanales; Bacillaceae.